UAAAGGGGGAGGGGGUGGGGCAGGAGCUGCUUAGCAACCUGAAGGUUUUUUUUUUUAAAGGCAAGUCCUCCUUUUAACAGUAGCAGUUUUUAAAAUGCCAGUUUUGAGGAGUUAAAAAAAAAGAAUAUUAGAGACAGCAAAUGGGGAUGGCGGUAAAGGGACUGAACAAGGGAGGUGACGGCGCUUCCUUCAGAGGCACAUCAUCAUGGCGACCACGGGAGCCCAGCUGGGUGUCUGUGUAUGGGUAAGGAAACAGGCUCUCCCAGAAUCUCAUUAAGAAGCAAAAUGUCACCUGGAAAUCAGAGGGAAAAAGAAGAAAUGAAUCAGUGUAGACUGCCAAGAAGGUGAUAAAAGUUGACCAUCUGUUCCUCAGGUAGAAACCUAGAGAGGAAAAAAAAUAUCUUUGAAUGUACUUCCAGGAUAAAGUUCAAAUGCUCUCUACA
Long non-coding RNA from Peromyscus leucopus (white-footed mouse), 443 nucleotides. RefSeq lists it as uncharacterized. The transcript has 2 exons. Lineage: Eukaryota; Metazoa; Chordata; Mammalia; Rodentia; Cricetidae. The record is from RefSeq and is a predicted model, not a curated record.